RNAcentral lists this ribosomal RNA (502 nucleotides) under uncultured Glomeromycotina. Its description in RNAcentral is "partial small subunit ribosomal RNA". It matches the Rfam family "Eukaryotic small subunit ribosomal RNA", at positions 591 to 1092 of the family's 1831-position model. The record is from RNAcentral. Lineage: Eukaryota; Fungi; Glomeromycota.
CCAAUAGCGUAUAUUAAAGUUGUUGCAGUUAAAAAGCUCGUAGUUGAACUUCGGGGUUUACCCAUUGGUCAGGCUUAAUUGUCUGUACUGGUGAGAUAAAUCUCUACCUUCUGAGGAACUUUCAUGUCAUUAAUUUGGUGUGAUUGGAAAUCAGGACUGUUACUUUGAAAAAAUUAGAGUGUUUAAAGCAGGCUAACGUCUGAAUACAUUAGCAUGGAAUAAUGAAAUAGGACGGCUUGAUUCUAUUUCGUUGGUUUCUAGGAUCACCGUAAUGAUUAAUAGGGAUAGUUGGGGGCAUUAGUAUUCAAUUGUCAGAGGUGAAAUUCUUGGAUUUAUUGAAGACUAACUACUGCGAAAGCAUUUGCCAAGGAUGUUUUCAUUAAUCAAGAACGAAAGUUAGGGGAUCGAAGACGAUCAGAUACCGUCGUAGUCUUAACCAUAAACUAUGCCGACUAGGGAUCGGACGAAGUUAAUUUUAUAAUGACGCGUUCGGCACCUUACG